AUAAGGUCUGAUUUUAUGUGCAAACCCAGUGCUCUUUAGACAUCAAUUCUCUGUCUCUCCCAGGAACUCUUCAUCUCACUGCACUGAUAAGAGAAUAAGCUGGUCUAAAUCAGUUGGGAGACUUGAGACGAGGUGAACUUAUCUCCUAACCUCCUUCACCACAAAGCAUUUGAUUAAUUGGAGCAGCAUCUUUCCAGUGUCCUUCUUUCCACUAAGGAGUGACUAGCCAAACCCGCAUUGCUCUUUCAGAAGAUCAAAGGGACUGCUGCCCACCUAAUGGCAGGCCAGACAGGAUUGUUCCAUUAUGCCUGGACAGAUAUUCCCCAGGAAGCCUUCUACUCACAAGCCAGAUUGUACUCCAGACUGAGGUAUACAUCUGUGCUUGAAGUUAUUUGUGCAUAGUUUCCUACUUACAUUUAUGCCCAUUAAAGCCAAUGAGAGGCUUCAGCAAUACUGAGUGUAAACUAUAAUCAGCAUGUAAAGUUUGUUGUGUGUCCUGGGAUCUUCGGAAAAAAGGCUCUCUAUAUGCCUCAUCAUUAUUAGUUUUUCUUGCAUCAUUUGUCAAGAUAAAUACAUGGUUGUUGUUUAGCACAAUGUACUGGAAACUUCUGACUUGCAAAUUAAUCUGAAAGAUAGAACCAUACAAAAACAUUUUAUGCAUCUAGCAUUUAUGAUGUAAUUUCUGCUCUUGAGAAAAAGUCAAAAAGGGAAGUAGCAAUACAUAAAUACAAGUUAAAAGAACACAUGUAAUGAAUUAACAUCAUUGCAUUCAGUUAGACACCAGUUGUCACUAUGGAGCAGUGAUUAUGAUGGGGAAUUAAAUUAAACAAACACAGCUAACAAAAAAGCUGCUAUUAUACUGAUAAAAAUAGAAGAAUGGGACCUUACAGAAUGCAAAGAUGGAUUCAACCAUAAAAAUAUAUUGUGGAAAUCUAAUUCUAGUAUUUUCCAUGGAGCUGAGCAUGUAAUGUCUGCUCACAUGGAAAGAUACCCCUGAGGAGGAAAACUAGGAGGAGGUGCUUUAUGUUUAUGUAUUGAGUUGUCUACGUGGGUGAAAACUGAAGAAGUUAUGAGACUGAUUAAGCUUAAGCUGUGGUUGGGAAUUAUCUGCAGAUCAGAAAGGAAGGCUGAUGAUUCAGAGUCCUCCUGCUAGCAGAUACGAUAUUUUACAUAAUUAUUAUACAUUCCAAUUUACUUGGAUGUGUCACAUUGUAAUAUGUUACAUUGUCAUGCAAUGUUAGACCAUUUUCAGGAGGUCUGCUUGAGAUAGUGUGUAAAGAAACGUAAAGAUAUGAAACAUCAUUGUAGAGGAUAGGACUUUAGGCUCUGUGAAAUAAAGCGGUUUUUGCUUCCUAUCA
Molecule: long non-coding RNA, 1358 nt
Filed under: Numida meleagris (helmeted guineafowl)
Lineage: Eukaryota; Metazoa; Chordata; Aves; Galliformes; Numididae
Description: lncRNA (ENSNMEG00000006594.1)
Source: RNAcentral